This 716-nucleotide long non-coding RNA is filed under the name Hordeum vulgare. RNAcentral's name for it is "long non-coding RNA (HVUL_LNC000975)". The record is from RNAcentral. Lineage: Eukaryota; Viridiplantae; Streptophyta; Magnoliopsida; Poales; Poaceae.
AAUAGAGUUAGUCCGGGUUAGUUCCAUUCAAAUCAUGCAAAUUAGUGUCCAAAACAAGGGCAAAAGAGUUUGGAGAAGUAGAUACGACGGAGAUGUAUCAACCCACUUUGGUCUUUUGAAAAUGUUUAGCACCACACUGUGUUUUCUGUUCUGGAGCAGUUUUCUAGUUUGCGCUGCUAACCUAUUAUUUUCUUGGCCAAAGCUUUUGAAAAUUUUACUACCCCUAGAGAAAUCUACCAAACCCUUAAGUACAAGAGAUCAACCCCUUUUGGAUUUAUUAAGCCCCUCUUUUAACCUUCCUAAGUUGUUGCCGAGAGUUGUUUUUCUCUAAUUAAUGCACUAACAAGUUUCCGAUCUUCAAAAACUAACCUUGCCACCAUUAUUAACAUCCAAAGAGACCUUGGACUGGGAAUUUUGGUGGCCGGAAAGAUUGCCUAGGUGCCCCUGGCAUUUUGCCAAACACUUAAGGUGCAUGACCUGAAUUGGCAUGGUUCUAGGUUUGCAUUGGGGACUUAAACCCUCUGGCCAAACCAGCAUGUCCACUAACCAUGUGCCACCCCUAACGAUAGAUCUGGAGACUUGUAGUUGCACACAAUGGCCCUGGCAUGCUCUGGCAUUGUGUCGAGCACCUGAAGGGCAUGCCAAGAGCGCGCUCCAGAGCACGGCUUCUGCAGCCAGCGCAACUGAGUCACCACAUCCCACCUAACCCCGCCAUG